UCAAACUUGGUCAUUUAGAGGAAGUAAAAGUCGUAACAAGGUCUCCGUUGGUGAACCAGCGGAGGGAUCAUUAAAGAGUUGCAAAACUCCUUAAACCCAUUGUGAACUUACCUUUGUCGUUGCUUCGGCGGGUAGCCCCAGGGCGGGGCUUCGCCUAUUUUUUAGGUGCCCGCCGAACGCUUUCUAAACUCUUGUUAUUUUUGAUACUCUGAGUUAUAAUUUAAAAUAAGUCAAAACUUUCAACAACGGAUCUCUUGGUUCUGGCAUCGAUGAAGAACGCAGC
RNAcentral lists this unclassified non-coding RNA (283 nucleotides) under uncultured fungus. RNAcentral's name for it is "partial contains small subunit ribosomal RNA, internal transcribed spacer 1, and 5.8S ribosomal RNA". The stretch from base 1 to 73 matches the Rfam family "Eukaryotic small subunit ribosomal RNA", at positions 1759 to 1831 of the family's 1831-position model. The record is from RNAcentral. Lineage: Eukaryota; Fungi.